Molecule: long non-coding RNA, 748 nt
Organism: Gavialis gangeticus (Gharial)
Lineage: Eukaryota; Metazoa; Chordata; Crocodylia; Gavialidae
Exons: 3
Source: RefSeq, a predicted model, not a curated record
UGUUGGCUACAAAUGUCCAACUCAGGAUCCUUAAAAUUCUGGUUUAUUAGGCAGAUUGAAACACUGUAAUGAAGUCAAAUCAUAAACCUUGGGGCUGGUCCCCCCCCCCCCCCACACACACACACAUGCACACACACAGUAGCCAGUUACAAAUGUUUGUGGGGUGGGGCACCAGUCAGGUAUACCUAUCCCACAAGCGCUGGAGUCUGCCGUCGAUGGCCGGUCAAGGCUUCUUCCAGCAUGGUGUUAUCCUCCAGAAGGGGGUCACCAGCUGGUCCUUCUGGCUGGACAGGUGCUGCUCAAGUUGGAGAUCAAGAGGGCACCACUGAGGGUCACUUUUCACCGCUCUUUAUCUGUCCUUUGCAGACUUUGGUGACUCCCUAGUUUUCAGGUUUGCCCAAUCCAGGGGUCGUUGACCCUCGUGGGACUUCCCCCUCGGUAGCUACUGGAUGGCAUCUGUCAGCCCCAGGGUUCAUUCGCAUGUACGUGCAGGUUUGGGAGUCCGUUGAUGAAUUUGGAUUAAUUUACCGUUGUCAUGAAUAGGGCUCUGGGAGCGGUCGAUCUGGAAAUAUUCAGCCCCAAAAGUUGGUCCCCGGUAUUGAUUAGCUCAGACCAGGGCUUCUAGCCCUUGAACAGUGAAGUUUACUUUAGAGAAUUCCCGGUUGCUACAUGGUCUCCUAUUGUUUUCUUCCCUUGGCUGAUCUGCCGUUUCCAUAGGUGUUAAUUGCCUCUUGCUGCUACUGUGUUA